Long non-coding RNA from Cygnus olor (mute swan), 241 nucleotides. RefSeq lists it as uncharacterized. The record is from RefSeq and is a predicted model, not a curated record. The transcript has 2 exons. NCBI's taxonomy places the organism in Eukaryota, Metazoa, Chordata, Aves, Anseriformes, Anatidae.
CCUCCCCUCACGCGCCCGCCGCCAUCUUGGCUCGGCCCGUCCCGCCCCGCGGCCCCGCGCUGAGACUCCUACUGGGUGAGGCAAGGCGGGGCGGGGCGCAGAGCGACUCCGCUCUAUAAAGGGCAGCGCGGGGGAGUGACGGUCCUUUCUGUCAGCACGGCGGCGCGGGGAGCCGUGCGGCGACCGGGAGAAUGAAGCUGCGGGAAGCGUCCGGGUGAAUAAAGCUGCGUGUGCUCCGCCA